This 274-nucleotide ribosomal RNA is filed under the name uncultured bacterium. RNAcentral describes it as "partial 16S ribosomal RNA". It matches the Rfam family "Bacterial small subunit ribosomal RNA", at positions 523 to 796 of the family's 1533-position model. The record is from RNAcentral.
AUACGAGGGGUGCAAGUGUUGUUCGGAAUUACUGGGCGUAAAGGGAGCGUAGGCGGAAAGUCAUGUCAGAUGUUUAAUUUCGGGGCCCAACCCCGAGCUUGCGUUUGAAACGGGCUUUCUUGAAUAUAACAGAGGUGAAUGGAAUUCCCGGUGUAGCGGUGGAAUGCGUAGAUAUCGGGAGGAACACCAGUUGCGAAGGCGGCCACCUGGCCCGGUACUGACGCUGAGGUGCGAAAGCGUGGGGAGCAAACAGGAUUAGAAACCCCAGUAGUCC